UACGGAGGAUUCGAGCGUUAUCCGGAUUUAUUGGGUUUAAAGGGUGCGUAGGCGGUCGGAUAAGUUAGAGGUGAAAUCCCGGGGCUCAACUUCGGAAUUGCCUCUGAUACUGUUCGGCUAGAGAGUAGUUGCGGUAGGCGGAAUGUAUGGUGUAGCGGUGAAAUGCUUAGAGAUCAUACAGAACACCGAUUGCGAAGGCAGCUUACCAAGCUACUUCUGACGUUGAGGCACGAAAGCGUGGGGAGCAAACAGG
Molecule: ribosomal RNA, 253 nt
Filed under: uncultured bacterium
Lineage: Bacteria
Description: partial 16S ribosomal RNA
Rfam family: Bacterial small subunit ribosomal RNA
Source: RNAcentral